Molecule: ribosomal RNA, 492 nt
Filed under: uncultured bacterium
Lineage: Bacteria
Description: partial 16S ribosomal RNA
Rfam family: Bacterial small subunit ribosomal RNA
Source: RNAcentral
GAUGGACGCUAGCUACAGGCUUAACACAUGCAAGUCGAGGGGAAACGACAUCGAAAGCUUGCUUUUGAUGGGCGUCGACCGGCGCACGGGUGAGUAACGCGUAUCCAACCUGCCCAUCACUUGGGAAUAACCUUGCGAAAGUAAGACUAAUACCCAAUGACAUCCCACGAAGACAUCUGAAUGGGAUUAAAGAUUUAUCGGUGAUGGAUGGGGAUGCGUCUGAUUAGCUUGUUGGCGGGGUAACGGCCCACCAAGGCAACGAUCAGUAGGGGUUCUGAGAGGAAGGUCCCCCACAUUGGAACUGAGACACGGUCCAAACUCCUACGGGAGGCAGCAGUGAGGAAUAUUGGUCAAUGGGCGAGAGCCUGAACCAGCCAAGUAGCGUGCAGGAGGACGGCCCUAUGGGUUGUAAACUGCUUUUAGAAGGGAAUAAAGUGGGUCUCGUGAGACUUUUUGCAUGUACCUUAUGAAUAAGGACCGGCUAAUUCCGUG